This is an RNA transcript of Pararge aegeria (speckled wood butterfly), 4097 nucleotides long. RefSeq lists it as uncharacterized. NCBI's taxonomy places the organism in Eukaryota, Metazoa, Arthropoda, Insecta, Lepidoptera, Nymphalidae. The record is from RefSeq and is a predicted model, not a curated record. The transcript is spliced from 3 exons.
CACUCGCAAUCUAGUGGUGAUUGCUUAAAUAUUGUGAAACCUUUUUAUUUCUUUAACUAUUACACAAACUUAAAAAAUUUAAGAAGGAUAAGUCCUUAUAUAGAUUUUUAACACUUGCUUUAAGGUUGGCGUAAUGUUAUGACUAGAAAUGUCAUGGACCAUACUUAUAACGUUUUGUGUUAGAUAUUUACAGCGCGCCUCAUAACCUCGCUAUUAAACCCGUGCGGUUUGCAAAGCUGAGACACCAUGGCACUUAUAAUAGAGGGAGAAACAUUAGGACAAAAACAUCGCAAUUACAACAAAUUAUUGAAUGAAGAAAUCAAAAACAAUCUAACUAAACCCGUUGCCGCAAUAAACUGCGAAGAACCAGAUAUGGAUAACCUAUUAAAAAUAGAUAUGGCGUGCAAAGUUAGAAAUGUUGAUUAUAUUCUUGAAGUUCUAAAAUGUGAUAACAUGUUAUACGUAUCUCGAGUUAUUAAGAAAUCCAUAUGGUUAUUAUCUGAUCAGCAAUACGCAUAUAUUAUUAAUCCUGCUUACUUGUACAACCACCUUUAUCCACAGAUGAGUACAAAGGCUUUUAAUAAACUCAUUCUGCACAUAAGGCUAAAUUUAGUGGAUGAAAAACGUGUUGAAGAGUUUUUUAACCAUUACAUACAAAAUGAUGUGGAUAAAGCAAUGGGUUGGCUAUCACGUUGCUCUAUUCCUUUUAUUGAGGAAAUUAUUCGGAAAUAUGCUGACGAUAUACCAAAUUGUAACAUGUUUUCUUAUUCUCAAUUGCAACGAUUAUAUGAAAAAUCUUUUACUUUUCUGGAUAUACUACAAAAAAAUUAUAGGCGCUCAUACUUCAAAGACCACAUAUUUGGACCCGGAAUGUUUCUUUUAAAAAGAAACCCCGAAAGGUUCCUAGAUAUAUUCGAGACACUUAAAGAACGCGACACACCAUUAUUCGGACGGAAAUAUACCAAAGUCGUAAUGGAAAAUUGUCCAGAAAGAAUAAAAAAUAAUCUUGAGAAAUACAUUUAUGUCCUUGAUAUACCAGUUUUUGCACAGUAUUUAAAAGAAGAAGAGGUUAAGAACUUUAUAAUAACGCACAUUAAGAAUAAGAAAACUCGUAUAUGGUUCACCUAUAAAAAAAUUAAAUACUUUUUGAACCGGUUGCCAUUUGAGGAGAGAUUUGAUUUCGUAAAAAAGAUUUUUAUUGACAAAUGCUGUGAAGAUGCACCCUUUGAUAAUGAGACUUGGGAUGAAAUAGUAAAGUUUUGUAAUCUGCCUCUCAAAGGAAAAUUAGCACCAUCUAAAAGUAUAUACAGCUGGUACGUCUAUGCACCAUUUAGUAAAGCUUUUGAAGAUUUGAAAUUGUUGAUUCGUAAUGAAUCAAGUCCCACUGAAAGAGUUGGGAUUUUGCGAUCACUAAUGACAUGUGCUCGUGGUAAUCAAAACAAUAUACUUACUUUAUUAAAAUAUUACCAUCAAAAUCACUUAAACGAACCUUUCUUGUUCAAGCUUCAGUUUGUAAAUCAUUUCAUUACCAAAACUGAUACACAUAAGUUUGACGAAGAAACUUGGGGAUACUUAAAUGAUAUUUUCAGCAACUUGGAAGUGUACACUAGAUACAAAGAUAGUAUGCAAUCGUGUGUGAAAUGCAUACUUUUAUAUAAUGUGAUUAAUGACGUCCAAAUUCCCGAUGAUAUAGAAAGUAAAUUUGAUUUCGAACAUUUCAUAACAAAUGAAUAUGAUUAUUCUAUAAAUAAGUUUAACAUGGACGAAAGAAAUAAAGUAUUUAAUUGCAUUUACAAUUAUUACAUUUCGAAAAUUAAAAUUGAUAUUACAAGUGAAAAACAGUUUGAUGAGGCUGUAAACGUUAUAUUAUCAGUUUUUAAAGUUCUCGAUAAAUGCAAAAAAGAACUCAAAGAUUAUCCAUUCGUUAUCCAGAAAAUCAAAGACCUUGUUAUUAUAAAAAGAGAAAAUUCCUGGAAUCGUGAUCUUUCAAGUGUGUACAACUUCAAAAAAUCCUGGAGAAAGAUGUUUUUUAUAGAAUCCAUUAUUCUAUGUCCCAACUACGAAAGCUGUAUGAAUGCUCUUAAACAUGGUCCUGAGCUAUUAGAAAUUCACAGAAAAGAAAUAAACUCAUGCAUAAAUGAUAACUUCCUUUACUUUGACAACUUUCUGAGGAAAAUUCAAAUUUACGGGUAUCGAUCUUUAGCAGACUCAUUUAAAGCAACUUUUAUGGAGAACCUCAAUAAAAUAAGCCUUCACAAGUCCACCAUAAGAGGUCUAUGUAUAUUACUUACACGAAAAGAGCUGUUUGAAUUUGUUCAAAGAUAUGUUCCGACAGAAUCCAAAAUUAUUUGGAGCCAACCUGAUAACGAAAUCCUCAGCAUACAGAAAAAUAUCGCUGCAUUUAUGCAUCUAUCAAGACCUCACCCUCCACUUGAUCUGGCUUUGUUGUACGCUAAAGGAGAUUAUUUGAAAUAUGUACUACCUUCAUUAAAUGCAAUAGUUCAUAACAUUAAUUCAACUGAAAUUAGCGAGCAUGUAGCAAAGCUUCUUAACGCACCAGUAUCUUUACAAAAACAUGGCAUUCGAGUUGCAUUUGCUAAGCUAAAUCAAAAUCAACUUAUAAAUAUGUUUACAGAAAUUUGGAAAUCUAAUAAAAGCAGAAGUAUUCGAAAUGUUAUAUUUUCCGAGACUUUCAAGAUGCUUUGUAAAGAAACUGAUGAAAUAGUUUUUUUUGGUAUAUGGGAGAUGCUCCGCAUGUUUAGCAAUGAUACUUUCAAGGGAAAUAAAAAGAUAUAUUUUACUCUAAGCAGAAUUGAAAAUUACCCACUUUCUAUAAAACCGACUAUUUGGAUAAAAAGCUAUGAAUUGUUAGAAAAAAUGCCAGCUCAAACAAAGUGUAAGAAAAGUAUUGAUGAAUUAAAAAACGAAAUGGGCAAUAUCAUGGAGUUCUUAGAUGUAGAUUUUAUGGCAAAAUUGUUAUUAGAAAAUUUUGAUAAAAGUUUUGCUACACAGAAAUAUGGCCACUCUGAUCGUAUAGCUAUUUAUUUGUUAAGUACAAAAUCAGAAUCAGUUCAAAGUGAGCGCUAUGAAAAAAUUUUUAAGCCGCUAUUAGAAAAGGUUGUUCCUGUGUGGAAUAAGCGAUACGAAACAUUUCACUACGCAAGAAAUAACUUACGGGAUAUAUUUUAUUCUUUGUCUAUGAAAUUCGAUUCUUUAGUUUUGGAUAAGAAAAUGAUUUUUCCCAUCGCCAUGUAUACUGCAGCACUGAAUCACCUUCAGAGUGCUUUAUCGUUAAAAGAAAAUUAUUUUCUCUUGACACAUAUAAAGUUAUCGUUGGGAUACAUACGAGUUGUAUCUGACCUCAAAACAAAAUGUAUCGAUUUUAAGGACGACCAGCUUUCUAAAGAAGCAGCACGUAGUUUUGGCGCGCUGUGUUUAGAUUACUUAAAGGAUGAUGUCGCAAAUUAUUUUUCUACUAUUCACGUCAUUUUUGCUAAAGUUUUGGGCCUCAUUUGUGACCAGUAUGCCCCACGCAAUUACGUUUUUAAAAUGGGAGUCUUAAAAGCAUUUCUUUGCGAUAAAAAUUUCAUUCAAGGAUAUUUAUUAGUUGCUGAAUUAAUGCCAAAUUCGAACCACUUCAAUGAACGCAGCGAAAAAGCUCUGCAAUUGGAAAUGUUAAAAGAACUCAGCACACAUCAUUCGGAAGAAGUUGUAGCCCAUUAUUGGCGUAUACGAAACUAUUUGUAAUUCAACUUUUUUGCUCUUUGCAAGGAAAGGAAGACGUAAUUGUUAAUUUGUUUUUUUGUAAUCGACUAUCUUCAAAUAGGUGGAGAUUAUCAAUUCGGAUGUUAUGAUCUCCGGUGAAUCAAGAAGAUGCUUCUAAAUUAAUACAAUUGUGUGGCAGAAAACUUAAUUAACAUAUGUUACAGAAUUAAUGCCAACCUCGAACUUCUUUUGUGGUAGCAGCGAAACAGCUCUGCAACUGGAAAUGUUAAAGGAACUAAGCAUCAUCAUUCGGAAGAAGUUGUAUCGCAUUAUUGGCUUAUACGAAAGGAUUUGUAUUAUUUUUGUUCUCAGUGAUAGUUUGUAAAUAACAC